GGCUUAAAGAAGUUGUCUGAGUGCAAAUCAGAUAGUGGGCUUUAAAUUGCCCUUGGGCCU
This 60-nucleotide transfer RNA is filed under the name Lophosaurus boydii (Boyd's forest dragon). RNAcentral's name for it is "tRNA-Cys". Lineage: Eukaryota; Metazoa; Chordata; Lepidosauria; Squamata; Agamidae. The record is from RNAcentral.